CUGAGGGGGGUUCAGAUCCUGGCUCUGUCCUGUCCCCCCUGUGUGACCUCAGCACAUUCCUGCACCUCUCUUAACAAACCCUGCCAACAGCUGAGUUGCUUAGCACCUGCUAUGUCGUGCAGCUUGGAGACCCUGCGCACCCUUUACCAGGACCCUGUCUCCCAAAGCUCGGUGAGGCGCCUGGUCAUCCCCCAGGAUGUGGGAGGCCGAGGCUGGGAGCAGAGGGCGGCCCGCACCUGCCACAGGGCUGAUCUAGGCUGGGGCUGGGAUUGGAAUUCCAUCCCCAGGUGCCCCCGACAUGAGGGCUGGAUCUGCUGAAGCCGGGGCCAGAGGCCUGUGCUGCCCCCAACCUGGGAACCUCCAGACCACACUGAUGCGACCGCUGCCUCCCAGUUCCCAGGAACAGAUACUGAGCUCUGAGCAAUGGGCACAAUUUCAGACCCAGCGUCCUGGCGGUGCCAUAAAACUGCAGCAGCGAAGCUCACUGGAGUCAUUUUCUCCUGUGCUGCUGACACGGAGAGGAAAAAUCCCCAAAUAAAGCUCUUCCCACAGCCACAGCCACGAAAACAUUGUCCCCUGCAACUGUGCUCGCUACUCAAACAUGAUUUCUCCUCCUCAGGGGGAAAAACCUCCCAGCAAUUCUCAUUGCAAGAUGGUAAACCUGUCGCCCUAAUGAACAGCUUUCAUUUAGAACCCAGCGAGAAGGGGCGCACCGGGAGACGGCAGCUUUGUUGACUGCGAUGUUUCCAAAUCACUUGCUCAACCUGCAGCGUUCCCAUGGAGCUUGGAGCGCCCAGCAUAGGGCUUUAUUGUUGUUUUGAGGCAAGAAAGAAGUUUUCAGAAGCCAUACUUUGUGCUGAUUCAUGUUUCACCCUUGUGCCUACAAAGUCUCCCUCAAAUGGGUAUCCUGGUCCUCUUGCAUGCCUCUGAUGAUGGGAUGCUCACUACUUCCCAGUGCAGCCCCC
This 965-nucleotide long non-coding RNA is filed under the name Homo sapiens (human). RNAcentral's name for it is "HSALNT0068303". Lineage: Eukaryota; Metazoa; Chordata; Mammalia; Primates; Hominidae. The record is from RNAcentral.